GAAAUGCGAUAAGUAGUGUGAAUUGCAGAAUUCAGUGAAUCAUCGAAUCUUUGAACGCACAUUGCGCCCCUUGGUAUUCCAUGGGGCAUGCCUGUUCGAGCGUCAUUUGUACCCUCAAGCUCUGCUUGGUGUUGGGUGUUUGUCCCGUCGCCGCGCGUGGACUCGCCCCAAAGUGAUUGGCAGCCGGCGUACUGGUCCCGGAGCGCAGCACAUGUCGCGCAAACGAGUGCCUUGGUACGGCGGCGUCCAUAAGCCCCUCUCUCACGCUCUUGACCUCGGAUCAGGUAGGGAUACCCGCUGAACUUAAGC
Molecule: unclassified non-coding RNA, 309 nt
Filed under: plant metagenome
Description: partial contains 5.8S ribosomal RNA, internal transcribed spacer 2, and large subunit ribosomal RNA
Rfam family: 5.8S ribosomal RNA (bases 1-105)
Source: RNAcentral